AGGUCAGUAGGUUGGUCGUGCCACCGGUACGUACUGGUCUCACUGAUUCCUCCUUCCUGAAGAACCGUAAUGCCAUUAAUUUGGUGUUGCGGGGAAACAGGACUGUUACUUUGAAAAAUUUAGAGUGUUUAAAGCAAGCUAACGCUUGAAUACAUUAGCAUGGAAUAAUGAAAUAGGACGAUCGAUCCUAUUUUGUUGGUUUCUAGGAUUGACGUA
This 216-nucleotide ribosomal RNA is filed under the name Glomeromycotina sp. Its description in RNAcentral is "partial small subunit ribosomal RNA". The stretch from base 40 to 216 matches the Rfam family "Eukaryotic small subunit ribosomal RNA", at positions 686 to 864 of the family's 1831-position model. Lineage: Eukaryota; Fungi; Glomeromycota. The record is from RNAcentral.